This 360-nucleotide ribosomal RNA is filed under the name uncultured bacterium. RNAcentral's name for it is "partial 16S ribosomal RNA". It matches the Rfam family "Bacterial small subunit ribosomal RNA", at positions 338 to 696 of the family's 1533-position model. The record is from RNAcentral.
CCUACGGGUGGCAGCAGUGAGGAAUAUUGGUCAAUGGGCGGGAGCCUGAACCAGCCAAGCCGCGUGAGGGAAGAAGGUACAGCGUAUCGUAAACCUCUUUUGCCAGGGAACAAAGGCGGGGACUAGUCCCCGUAUGAGGGUACCUGAAGAAAAAGCAUUGGCUAACUCCGUGCCAGCAGCCGCGGUAAUACGGAGGAUGCGAGCGUUAUCCGGAUUUAUUGGGGUUAAAGGGUGCGCAGGCGGCCUGUUAAGUCAGCGGUAAAAGCCCGGGGCUCAACCCCGGAGAGCCGUUGAAACUGGGGGGCUGGAGUGGGAGAGAGGUACGCGGAAUGCGCGGUGUAGCGGUGAAAUGCUUAGAUA